AUUGAACGCUGGCGGCAUGCUUUACACAUGCAAGUCGAACGGCAGCGCGGGCUUCGGCCUGGCGGCGAGUGGCGAACGGGUGAGUAAUGCAUCGGAACGUGCCCAGCAGUGGGGGAUAGCCCGGCGAAAGCCGGAUUAAUACCGCAUACGACCUGAGGGUGAAAGCGGGGGACCGAAAGGCCUCGCGCUAUUGGAGCGGCCGAUGUCGGAUUAGCUAGUUGGUGGGGUAAAGGCUUACCAAGGCGACGAUCCGUAGCUGGUCUGAGAGGACGACCAGCCACACUGGGACUGAGACACGGCCCAGACUCCUACGGGAGGCAGCAGUAGGGAAUUUUGGACAAUGGGGGCAACCCUGAUCCAGCCAUGCCGCGUGCGGGAAGAAGGCCUUCGGGUUGUAAACCGCUUUUGUUCGGGAAGAAAUCCUCUGGGCUAAUACCCCGGGGGGAUGACGGUACCGGAAGAAUAAGCACCGGCUAACUACGUG
RNAcentral lists this ribosomal RNA (484 nucleotides) under uncultured bacterium. Its description in RNAcentral is "partial 16S ribosomal RNA". It matches the Rfam family "Bacterial small subunit ribosomal RNA", at positions 29 to 507 of the family's 1533-position model. The record is from RNAcentral.